CCAUGGGCUUGGAUUUAUGGCAGGCCUUUGCCCCUGACCUCUCAUAGUGUCCCAUGCGAGAGCCCCGAACCAUUGCCUGGCCUUGUCCGUAAGCCUUAGCACUGAAGUGGAUUGCACAGUG
Molecule: small nucleolar RNA, 121 nt
Filed under: Dasypus novemcinctus (nine-banded armadillo)
Lineage: Eukaryota; Metazoa; Chordata; Mammalia; Cingulata; Dasypodidae
Description: Small nucleolar RNA SNORA42/SNORA80 family (ENSDNOG00000028570.1)
Rfam family: Small nucleolar RNA SNORA42/SNORA80 family
About the family: The members of this family belong to the H/ACA class of snoRNAs that guide the sites of modification of uridines to pseudouridines. Human ACA42 (SNORA42) was cloned from HeLa cells by immunoprecipitation with anti-GAR1 antibody. Its is predicted to guide the pseudouridylation of residues U109 and U572 of 18S rRNA.
Source: RNAcentral